UCUGUACAGAGGACAAACUAGAAGCUGCUCAGAGUUGCCCCCGGAGCCCAGCUGGAGAGCUUUAUGCGAACACAAUGGCAGGUAGAACAGUGUUUCCCAAGCCCAGGGACACAGCAGUGUGACACCUGAUGCAAAUGGAACAGAAGGCAAGAAUAUUGGCAUUCAUAUUGGCAUUUCACAUGGAAAGGUGAACUAUUUCUCAACCCACUGUUGAUCAGAAAGCACGACUGUGGCUCAUGUAAGCAGAAUGCAUCAGUUUUCCUACCUAAGUCCUCAUCAG
RNAcentral lists this long non-coding RNA (280 nucleotides) under Mus spicilegus (steppe mouse). Its description in RNAcentral is "lncRNA (ENSMSIG00000016982.1)". Lineage: Eukaryota; Metazoa; Chordata; Mammalia; Rodentia; Muridae. The record is from RNAcentral.